This 587-nucleotide ribosomal RNA is filed under the name uncultured archaeon. Its description in RNAcentral is "bacterial SSU rRNA". It matches the Rfam family "Archaeal small subunit ribosomal RNA", at positions 1 to 596 of the family's 1478-position model. The record is from RNAcentral.
UUUUCGGUUGAUCCUGCCGGACCUGACUGCUAUCGGAUUGGUACUAAGCCAUGCGAGUCAUUGUGCAAUACAAGGCGGACGGCUCAGUAACACGUAGUCAACCUAACUCGUGGACGUGGAUAACCUCGGGAAACUGAGAAUAAACCGCGAUAGAUCAUUAUGCCUGGAAUGGCUUAUGGUCCAAAUAGUUUACUGCCAUGGGAUGGGACUGCGGCCUAUCAGCUUGUUGGUGAGGUAAUGGCCCACCAAGGCUAUAACAGGUACGGGCUCUGAGAGGAGAAGCCCGGAGAUGGGUACUGAGACACGGACCCAGGCCCUAUGGGGCGCAGCAGGCGAGAAACCUUAGCAAUGUGCGGAAGCACGACUGGGUCAGUCCGAGUGAUUCCUGAUAAAGGAGUCUUUUGCUUGUCCUAAAAGCACAGGUGAAUAAGGGGUGGGCAAGUCUGGUGUCAGCCGCCGCGGUAAUACCAGCACCUCGAGUGGUCAGGACGUUUAUUGGGCCUAAAGCAUCCGUAGCCGGCUCUGCAAGUCUUCGGUUAAAUCCACCUGCUCAACAGAUGGGCCGCUGGAGAUACUACAGAGCUAGG